GGAAAAUAUUCAAAGUACAGGCAGACACAUACAGAAUCAGAAACAAAAUUACUCACUGUUCAGUCAUUUCUAGACCACCCCGAUAGCAUUCUAGUGUAUGGAGUCGUCUUGCCUUCUCUAGUGCCCCCAAAGGCUUGUCUGUACCCUUCAAGUACAGAUAAGUUCAGUGGCUUUGCCUGUUUACUGCAGUUACUGCUUUCAUGUACUCAAGGACUUAUCAUUAGACAAUGAGGUCUUUCUUUCUUACAGCUUUGUCUGUGUGUUUGUCUUCUGUUUUAUAAUGAAAAUCAAGCGAGAUUUUUAGUUUUCUGAUAUUUCAAGGUUUUGUAAGCCCACUCAGAGGCUUGGCCUAUAUUAUUGAUUUGAUUAAGAUUUAUAGAGAUCUGAUGGUUUUUGUUAAUUAAUGAGGUAGACUGUUUUUUCCUGUAGCUAAACUGUCCUAAGUCAGUUUGUCAGAUUUUAAGUCAUUCUUUCUACAAGAAUAUUAAAAUUAGGUAAUCCUGAGAACUGCUUAGGUUUAUUCAAAUGUAAUUUAUAUUAGAAUCAUAGAAUCUCAGAUACUUAAGGUUCCUUCCACAGCACCCAUGCAGUUAAAAAACAGCUUAAGAGUGCUGAAUGCUUUAAAGCCCUUUCACCCAGCUGUAGGUCCUUAGGAUUAUUUUUUAACUUUUAUGGCAGCUUUGUAUAUGAAUUUUGUGCUGGGCUGGUCUGAGAUGGCUGAUAGAGUAGUCUUGCUAAUAUGGGGACACAUUGGGAAGUUGUUACUGUUAAAAAUUUGAUGCCCUGGUUUAAAUAGGAUAUGUGGGGAGAUCAACUUUAUUUAAAUGCAUCUGGGUUGGCUGGUCUCAUUAUCAUUUCGAGUCUCUACAUUUCAUGUAGAGAAAUGUGUUCUACAUUUUUGUGUUUGGACAUUUCCCCUCACCUACCUUAAAUGUUUCUGUUCUCCCUUAGGAUGUGGUCUACCAAUUGAUAUUGUGACAGAAAAUAGGGAAAAUGGUGACACUUCUGUGGACUGCAUGAAUGAGGAUAUUAACAUCUCAGGCUUAAGAUUUGUUCAGCAUGGUGUUGUAGAAGGAAUCUUAAAAAACACUCAUACAAAGAUAUUUUGUGGAAACUAAGAAGAGGAGUGUCACAUAGGAGAGCCCACUGCUGCAGUGAUGUCUUGGGUCUCUGUGCUCUGAAUCCCUGCUUGGCCAGCCUCCUGGAGGUGAGUGGUCUUGUUUUUCUCUCUUCUCUUUCCCAGCAGGCACUACCUUGACUGACUCCUCUUUCUUCUAUACUGGAGAUUACAGUUAUCCUCGCUUGAGCUUCUGCCUCCAUCUUGUUCACCCUGACCCCACGGGAUGUCAGUCUUGUGAUCCUUCAGAGUCACCCUCAUUCCUACACCAACCCCAAGCAGCUCAUCAGAGCGUAUCCCCCCAAAAACAGGGCUCUGGCUGCUCAAAGAGGAGUCCUGGCAAUUAGAGAUUUCUCCUUUUUAUUGCCUUACUCCCUGGAUCCUUACUUUUCCUCUCUGCUACAUCGGAUGGAGGGUAUUUAUCUUUGCCCGUCCACUUCUGUUCUAGCUCUUAACCUACACAGGUGCUUAAAAGCCACUUGAUUGGAUGAAUGAAUUAGAUAUUUUUCUUGCUGGAGUCUCUGUCAAGAUAGACUGAGGACCCCAAUUCCUACCUGAAAAGAACAUUUCUUGACCACUCUACCUGCCUUUCUCCCACGUCUUUGCCCUGGCUUCCUGAGGGGGCUUGUCUUAUCUAGACCUGAGGGGAAAAGGACAGAAAGAGAGUGAUUGGAAGGAUUAUUUUCUGAACAAUUCCCCUGCCUAGGAACCAAAGGAUGUGAGGUAGCAGGAGGGAGUCAUGAUCAGUAGAGGAGGAAAAUGGAGAAGCAAGAAAAUUCUUACAUAAAACUUUCAAACUUUAGGAGAGGAGAAACUUUAUAUUUCUUAUAUUGUGAAACCUUAGACACUAGAAGCUGUGAAAAGAAAUUUUCCAACUGAGUUUUAGCAGAAUCUAAAGACUGGUGAACCUUUAUGAAAAAAUAUGUUUGGUUGUAGCAGUGAAACUUAACAAGAAUAUAGGCUGCUCAUUAAAUACGCUGCCUGCCUGUGUUCAAAAUUGAAGGGUGUCUUUCUAAAGUUAUACCAUGCUUCAGUGUCAUUCCAAUGUAUUUUCUUAGUCCUUGACAUUUAAUUAUUCACAACUGCUUUUUACUGCCUCAUUUAUAUUACCAUCAUGAAUGUAAUAUUAUCAUGCAAUUAAAUGGCAUAAUAUCUUGCAAAACUCACUGUCUGCCAAGUAGGUUCUAGAUACUGGUUAAAACAGUUGAGUUGGCAAUCAAUGGAACAUUAAAGUAUUUUAUGGGAAUUAAGAAACACAAGAUAUAUUGAAUUUCAAUGGCUGCUAGCUGAAUCCUCUAACUCCUUUGUAAAGCUUGUUAGCCCAGUAUCCAAAUUAAGUCUCCAGCUCUAAAGUCAGACUUCAGAAGCAAAAUCACAUCAGCUGCACUUAAGAAAAACAAGAGGAGAAAAUAAGAGGUAAAGCAAAUUCAAGUAGGUCAGCUUGAAAUCUUUAGGUGGUCUUUGAAUUUGUUUAAAAGAAAGAAGAAUUACAUUACACACAAAAGAAGGGGAUAAAGUAUAGUAUGUAAAUUUAAAAUGCUGCUUUUCAGGCUUCUGGUUUAUUAUCUGGCAGGUUGGAGCUCAGAAGUCUCCACUUUGUUCUAAUAACAAGUGAAAAACUGACUUUAUCAUAGGAUGUUUUUCUCUCCACACACCUUGCCAUUGCAGUACUAAAUGUCUGUUCACCUCAGUUCCUGUACCAAGUAUACCAUGUCCACCUUGCAACAAAAAUUACAGGGCAUACUACAAGGAAAAAAACACAGUUUGAAGAAACUGAACAAGUACCAGAAUCAGAGUCUGAUAUGGCAGGAAUGUUAGAAUUAUCAGCCCGGAAACUUUACAAAUAUGUACAUAAGUAAUAUGCUAAGGGUAUUAAUGAAAAAGUACAUAACAUGCAAGAACAGAUGGAUAAUAUAAGCUGAGGAAAGAUCUUUGAGUAUAUAACAAUAGAAACUGCCAAAACUCAAAAGCAAACAGAAAAAAAAGACUGGGGAAAAAAAAAGAACAGAGUGUCUAAGAACUGUGAGACAACUACAAAAUGUGUAUCAAGGGGCAGAGGGAGGAAUUAAGAAUAUUUUGUUAUUAUAAAACACAUGCACUUUGUGAAGUGCUAUGGUGUUAUCAGAAGGUGGACUUGGAGUAGUUGUAAAUGUAUAUCGAAAACUCUAGGGCAACCAUUAAACAAGUAAAAGAAAUACAGCACACUUAGUGGUGAGAAACUCAAAACUUUCCCUGUAGGAUCAGGAACAAAGCAAAGAAUGUUACCGCUUUUUUUUUUUAACAUUGCACUGAAAGUACAGCUAAUGUAAUAAGACAGGAAAAAAAAACACAAAAAGUAUACACAUUGGUAAGAAAAAAAAUACAACUGUCUUUGCAGAGUAUAAUCCUCUCUGUAGAAAAUCUAAAAGAUUUGGCAAGAAAAUUCUUGGAGUAAGCAAUUAUAGUAAGGUUUCAGGAUUCAAGGUUAAUAUACAAAAGUCAAUUGCAUUUCUAUAUACCAGCAAUGAACAAGUAAAAUUUGAAAUUAAAAACACAAUACCAUUUACAUUAGUACCCUGAACAUUGAAAAUAGCAAAAAUCCAACAAAUUAUAUGUAAGAUCUAUACAAGAAAACUUACAAGACUCAUGAAAGAUAUGAAAGAGCUAAAUAAAUGGAGAGAUAUUCCCUAUUUAUGAAUGAAGAGUCAACAUUGUCAAGAUGUCAGUUCUUCCCAACUCAUCUAUAGAUUAAAUGAAAUCUAGAUAAAAAUCUCA
This is a long non-coding RNA of Macaca nemestrina (pig-tailed macaque), 3871 nucleotides long. The record is from Ensembl. NCBI's taxonomy places the organism in Eukaryota, Metazoa, Chordata, Mammalia, Primates, Cercopithecidae.